Molecule: small nuclear RNA, 20 nt
Filed under: Arabidopsis thaliana (thale cress)
Lineage: Eukaryota; Viridiplantae; Streptophyta; Magnoliopsida; Brassicales; Brassicaceae
Description: snRNA_15310
Source: RNAcentral
UCUAAGUUAUGGUGUGCUUA